AUGAGACUCUUGGGUCUUCUCCUUUGCCUGGUGACAGCUCCCCAAGGUGCCCUGUCCCAGGCAGAGCUGCAGGAGUCAGGCCCAGCACUGGUGAAGAUGUCACAGAACUUCUCCCUCACCUGCACUGUCUCCGGAUCCUCCAUCACAACCAGUGAUUACUACUAUGACUGGAUCCGCGAGAACCCAGGAAAGGAGCUGGAGUGGAUAGGACACAUCAGUUAUAGCGGUAGCACAACAUAUAACCCAUCCCUCAAGAGUCGCAUCUCCAUCUCUAGAGACACGUCCAAGAACCAGUUCUUCCUGCAGCUGAGUUCUGCGACCACCGAGGACACGGGCCUGUAUUACUGUGCAAGAGACACAGUGAGGGGAACCUCUGGAUUCACCUUCAGCAGCUAUGGCAUGAGCUGGCUCCGCCAGGCUCCAGGGAAGGGGCUGGAGUGGCUCUCAGUUAUUAAUUAUGAUGGUAGUAGCACAUACUACGCUGACUCCGUGAAGGGCCGAUUCACCAUCUCCAGAGACAACUCCAAGAACACGCUUUAUCUGCAAAUGAACAGCCUGAGAACCUAG
Non-coding RNA from Diceros bicornis minor, 567 nucleotides. The record is from the annotation of a RefSeq genome assembly. NCBI's taxonomy places the organism in Eukaryota, Metazoa, Chordata, Mammalia, Perissodactyla, Rhinocerotidae.